CGGGGCGUGGCGCAGCCUGGUUAGCGCGCUGGUCUGGGGGACCAGAGGUCCCGAGUUCAAAUCUCGGCGCCCCGA
Molecule: transfer RNA, 75 nt
Filed under: Gaiellaceae bacterium
Lineage: Bacteria; Bacillati; Actinomycetota; Thermoleophilia; Gaiellales; Gaiellaceae
Also listed under: 3 other names
Description: tRNA-Pro
Rfam family: tRNA
About the family: Transfer RNA (tRNA) molecules are approximately 80 nucleotides in length. Their secondary structure includes four short double-helical elements and three loops (D, anti-codon, and T loops).
Source: RNAcentral